AGACAUUUUGCCUUCCUCUUUUGAUCAUCUGCUUGUGAUCAUCUGGUUUCAAUUACACUGGCUUUUUUUAAUCAUGAAAACAAAGUGGGGGCAGAAGUCUGCCUCAUUUGUCUGCACAGGUCCAGGAGCACCAUUCACAUUGAGUGUGACAGGCGCGUCAUCCCUGGAGGUGGGUAGCGCUGUGGCCCUCUUGCUGAGAACCGAAGCAAUGUUGAGAUCUGCUAGGAACUGUGAGAAGCAAGAAGCUUCCUGGCGCCAGAAUCCACCAUCCACCACAGAAGCAGACAACCAAGGACAUCCACCUGUAGCGAGGAGGAUCUGGCCAUCCUCCUCGCUACAAGCAGCCUCACAAGGCCAAACACAGGCUGGUGGGAAAGCACCCAGCAGCAAGGCUGCAGGCUCCCCUUCACUACAAGCAGCUGCAUUCCUUGCUACCUUUCAAACCCCUUGCCUCCCAUCUUUUGGGGAGAUGAGACAAACAUGUCUUCUGGUUGAUGUCACCCAAAAUAAAAACUCUUUCCUUG
Long non-coding RNA from Equus asinus (donkey), 524 nucleotides. The record is from Ensembl. NCBI's taxonomy places the organism in Eukaryota, Metazoa, Chordata, Mammalia, Perissodactyla, Equidae.